RNAcentral lists this ribosomal RNA (253 nucleotides) under uncultured bacterium. RNAcentral describes it as "partial 16S ribosomal RNA". It matches the Rfam family "Bacterial small subunit ribosomal RNA", at positions 524 to 776 of the family's 1533-position model. The record is from RNAcentral.
UACGUAGGGGGCAAGCGUUGUCCGGAAUUACUGGGCGUAAAGCGCGUGUAGGCGGGACGGUUAGUCGGACGUGAAAGGCUGGGGCUCAACCCCAGAUCGCCGUUCGAAACUGCCGUUCUUGAGGGUCGAAGAGGAGAGUGGAAUUCCUGGUGUAGCGGUGAAAUGCGUAGAUAUCUGGAGGAACACCGGUGGCGAAGGCGGCAUCCUGGACCGGUAUUGACGCUGAUGAGCGAAAGCCAGGGGAGCAAACGGG